Non-coding RNA from Cricetulus griseus (Chinese hamster), 521 nucleotides. The record is from RefSeq and is a predicted model, not a curated record. NCBI's taxonomy places the organism in Eukaryota, Metazoa, Chordata, Mammalia, Rodentia, Cricetidae.
AAACAGAGAACCACCCAGAGCCUGCAAAAGCAGAAGCACAUGCACACAGCAAGAGGUGAGACAGUAACCAGGAACAGACUGUUAAUCUGAUGCUGAAGAGCAGCACAAAAGCAUAGGGAAUUGGUGACAUUCAUCCAGGAUCUCCAGCAGAUGGCCAACCAUACUCACUCUUCAAGGACUAAUUGACUCCAUGGCUACAGUGGUACUCCAAGAUGGACAGGGACUAGAUACUCUUACAGCUUGAAAAGGUGGCCUUUGCCUCUUCCUCCAAAAGGAAUGUGUCAUCUAUGUCAUCCAAUCAGGUUGAAUAUAAAACAAAAUCCAGCUACUACAAACAGACCUCCAAAAAUGUAAGCACUGACUCCAGCCUCCAGCCUCUCUGCUCUUAAGAACCCCAUAUGGAAGUGAAUACUUUCCUUCCUGAUGCCUCUCAAUCUCAUUUUUCUGCUUUCAAUAAUUGUACCCUGCUUUAUUGAUGUUUUCUCUAUGUUCCUCCAAUGAAUUAAAACAUCUCUAAUCAA